AGCGAACGCUGGCGGCAGGCCUAACACAUGCAAGUCGAACGAACUCUUCGGAGUUAGUGGCGGACGGGUGAGUAACACGUGGGAACGUGCCUUUUGGUUCGGAAUAACUCAGGGAAACUUGUGCUAAUACCGCAUGUGCCCUUCCGGGGAAAGAUUUAUCGCCAUUAGAGCGGCCCGCGUCUGAUUAGCUAGUUGGUGAUGUAACGGCUCACCAAGGCGACGAUCAGUAGCUGGUCUGAGAGGAUGACCAGCCACACUGGGACUGAGACACGGCCCAGACUCCUACGGGAGGAAGCAGUGGGGAAUCUUGCGCAAUGGGCGAAAGCCUGACGCAGCCAUGCCGCGUGAAUGAUGAAGGCCUUAGGAUUGUAAAAUUCUUUCACCGGGGACGAUAAUGACGGUACCCGGAGAAGAAGCCCCGGCUAACUUCGUG
Molecule: ribosomal RNA, 433 nt
Filed under: uncultured bacterium
Lineage: Bacteria
Description: partial 16S ribosomal RNA
Rfam family: Bacterial small subunit ribosomal RNA
Source: RNAcentral